Molecule: unclassified non-coding RNA, 329 nt
Filed under: soil metagenome
Description: partial contains 5.8S ribosomal RNA, internal transcribed spacer 2, and large subunit ribosomal RNA
Rfam family: 5.8S ribosomal RNA (bases 1-120)
Source: RNAcentral
GAUGAAGAACGUAGCGAAACGCGAUACGUAAUGUGAAUUGCAGAAUUCAGUGAAUCAUCGAAUCUUUGAACGCACCUUGCGCCCCUCGGCAUUCCGAGGGGCAUGCCUGUUCGAGCGUCAUUUCACCACUCAAGCCUGGCUUGGUGUUGGGCGACGUCCUCUUUGGGGACGCGCCUCGAAACGCUCGGCGGCGUGGCACCGGCUUUAAGCGUAGCAGAAUCUUUCGCUUUGGAAGUCGGGGCCCCGUCUGCCGGAAGACCUGCUCGCAAGGUUGACCUCGGAUCAGGCAGGGAUACCCGCUGAACUUAAGCAUAUCAAUAAGCGGAGGA